CAAUAGCGUAUAUUAAAGUUGCUGCGUUUAAAAAGCUCGUAGUUGGAUCUCAGUCUCGAUCGAGCGGUCCGUCUUCCGGCGGCACUGCGCGAAUCGGACAUUCCGCCGCGUUUCUCUUCAUGCUCUUCACUGAGUGUGGAGGGAGAGUGGCAAUUUUACUUUGAAAAAAUUAGAGUGCUCAAAGCAGGCCACCGCCUGAAUAGUCGUGCAUGGAAUGAUGGAAUAGGGCCUCGGUUCUAUUUUGUUGGUUUCCGGAACUCGAGGUAAUGAUUAAUAGGGACGGACGGGGGCAUUUGUAUUGCGACGUUAGAGGUGAAAUUCUUAGAUCGUCGCAAGACAAACUACUGCGAAAGCAUUUGCCAAGAAUGUUUUCAUUAAUCAAGAACGAAAGUCAGAGGUU
This 400-nucleotide ribosomal RNA is filed under the name Arthropoda sp. MM00068. Its description in RNAcentral is "SSU rRNA". It matches the Rfam family "Eukaryotic small subunit ribosomal RNA", at positions 592 to 998 of the family's 1831-position model. The record is from RNAcentral. Lineage: Eukaryota; Metazoa; Arthropoda. RNAcentral also lists the same sequence under 2 other names.